CCACCUACGGGGGGCAGCAGUGGGGAAUAUUGCACAAUGGGGGAAACCCUGAUGCAGCGACGCCGCGUGAGUGAGGAAGUAUUUCGGUAUAUAAAGCUCUAUCAGCAGGGAAGAAAAUGACGGUACCUGACUAAGAAGCCCCGGCUAACUACGUGCCAGCAGCCGCGGUAAUACGUAGGGGGCAAGCGUUAUCCGGAUUUACUGGGUGUAAAGGGAGCGUAGACGGAGGAGCAAGUCUGAUGAGAAAAUCGGGGGCCCAACCCCGGAACUGCAUUGGAAAGUGUUUAUCUAGAGUGUCGGAGAGG
RNAcentral lists this ribosomal RNA (305 nucleotides) under uncultured bacterium. RNAcentral's name for it is "bacterial SSU rRNA". It matches the Rfam family "Bacterial small subunit ribosomal RNA", at positions 335 to 657 of the family's 1533-position model. The record is from RNAcentral.